AACCUGUAGCGCAGUGGAUAACGCAUUGGAUUUCUAAUCCAAAGGUCGUGGUUCGAAUUUCACCAGGGACG
Trichonephila clavipes is the source of this 71-nucleotide non-coding RNA. Lineage: Eukaryota; Metazoa; Arthropoda; Arachnida; Araneae; Nephilidae. The record is from the annotation of a GenBank genome assembly.